UGGCAAAAUGGAUCUCAUGAACUACUGUGUGUUCCCCACUUAACUCAUCUUCAAAACCAAGCCAGUCUACUGAAUCUACCACAAUCAUCAGCAUUCUAAGAUUCAGCUGAGGACAAGACCCUGGCACUUAAUAGAAUAGAAGUGACUGAAAAUUGAAUGAUGAUA
This is a long non-coding RNA of Homo sapiens (human), 165 nucleotides long. Ensembl annotates it as long intergenic non-protein coding RNA 1378. The record is from Ensembl. Lineage: Eukaryota; Metazoa; Chordata; Mammalia; Primates; Hominidae.